This 88-nucleotide transfer RNA is filed under the name Clostridiales bacterium. RNAcentral describes it as "tRNA-Leu". It matches the Rfam family "tRNA". Rfam says of the family: Transfer RNA (tRNA) molecules are approximately 80 nucleotides in length. Their secondary structure includes four short double-helical elements and three loops (D, anti-codon, and T loops). Further hydrogen bonds mediate the characteristic L-shaped molecular structure. tRNAs have two regions of fundamental functional importance: the anti-codon, which is responsible for specific mRNA codon recognition, and the 3' end, to which the tRNAs corresponding amino acid is attached (by aminoacyl-tRNA synthetases). tRNAs cope with the degeneracy of the genetic code in two manners: having more than one tRNA (with a specific anti-codon) for a particular amino acid; and 'wobble' base-pairing, i.e. permitting non-standard base-pairing at the 3rd anti-codon position. Lineage: Bacteria; Bacillati; Bacillota; Clostridia; Eubacteriales. The record is from RNAcentral.
GCAGGAGUGGCGGAAUGGCAGACGCGCUAGAUUCAGAUUCUAGUGAGAAAAACUUCUCUUGUGGGUUCAACUCCCAUCUUCUGCACCA